Molecule: long non-coding RNA, 1262 nt
Organism: Helicoverpa zea (corn earworm)
Lineage: Eukaryota; Metazoa; Arthropoda; Insecta; Lepidoptera; Noctuidae
Exons: 2
Source: RefSeq, a predicted model, not a curated record
GCUUAGUACAUCAAAAAAUCAUCAGAAGCAACAUUAAAGUGAAAAAAGUUGUUCAUCAUUUGUUUGUGUGUGAGCAAAUCUGUGAGGUGGAGAGCCUCGUCGGUCUAGUAGUCGUGACUGCUGGGGACUAAAUCUCGGGCUCAAUUUUAGGGUCGAAAUCCAUUACGGGUUUUAGAAACUUUCACGAAGCAGCCCGCAUUCUGGAAGUUGAUGAUUGAUAGAUCCGUACUUCAGAGAGCACGUAAAUGUCGGUCCUUAUCUCCCUCAGGUCGUGUCGGACUGCCGUCCCAACGGGCUAUGAGAUUGAAAGAAUAGUGAGUGCACCCUGUGUCUGCGAAAAUGCUUGUGCACUAUAAUGUGUCCCGCGCAGUAGGCUAAUCUCCUUAUAUGAGAACAGCCGCCGUAGCCGAUAAUCGGCGAGGAGGACAACAGUAUGAUCUAUGCAGCUGGCUGAUCUCUUUCUAUGGAAACAGCCGCCUUGGGCCGAAAUCAGCCUCAGACGCCAUUAAUACAGUUCUUUAGGUCAAAUCUUGUUGGAGUCUGUGGGUUAUUCGAAGGAGUUGCUGUGGCGUUGUGCCACAAAGGACCCAAAAGAGCAUGAAUAUAGUUUCAUCAAUAGGGCCUGGUACAUUAUUAAAUCCACAUACAAAGGAAGUGUUCAUAAAAAUGUGAUAUUUUCCUCACAAAAUGGCAUAUGGUAUACUUGUUGUAUAACUACAUAAUUAGAAUCGAACUGAUAUCGUGCGUCUGAUAAUAAUAAACUGUAAAGGUAGUCAUUGAUAAAAAGAGCCAUUAUUAGACAAUGUGUUUUUAUGCUCAUCGUGGUAUUUUGUGAAGUGUAAAAGAUCUGAUGAUGGAACGUAGAACUGUAUUAUAAAUCCAUUGUGAUACUAUGCCCACAGACAAAGCAAAGUCAGCUACAUGGUACAAGGUGCUUGGUCAUGUACAAGCUUUGGUGCUUCUCUAUGCUAAACGAUAAUGUUGAGAGUCUUCUCUGAUGGAUUCUAGACCGGAGGCGAAGCGACUUGGGAAAAGCUCAUGUGUAAAUAACAGUCACGGGGAUCGAUCGAUUCUAAGGUUAAGCUACGUUUGGCGUAGUCGUAAUCUAUGAAAUGACCAUUUCCAGUUUUAAAAGUAAACUGACGGUCCAUACUGAUGAGUAUACACACGUUAAAUUGGGGUAGCGAAGAAAAUGCGAAGAAAUCUUUUAAUACCAAUAAACAUAAUUUCAUAACAAUAAAUAAAUUUUGAAUUUUGAAAAA